This is a long non-coding RNA of Rosa chinensis, 2099 nucleotides long. RefSeq lists it as uncharacterized. The transcript is spliced from 3 exons. The record is from RefSeq and is a predicted model, not a curated record. Lineage: Eukaryota; Viridiplantae; Streptophyta; Magnoliopsida; Rosales; Rosaceae.
CAAGUUCUUAGUUUCUUCGGGAAGCCUCUAGCAACAUACAGCAUGAAACCCAGCCAUCAAAAUCAACAGUUCAGCCUCUAUCAACAUCAGUCGCUCCAUUCCAAUUUCAGUUCGACAAGCCACUAACUUUACAUGUGCGCUUUUACAAUCAUGGCAUUCAAAUCCCCAAUUUAUAUGAGCGGAAUGGAUCUUUGUGUUUUCAAUGGCCAUACUAAAAUGGCAGAGUGGAAUCACGAGAAAGAAGGAGAAGAAGGAUCUGGGUCUGGGUUUGUUUUGGAUUGCGCAUGACACCAUACAUCUUGAGUUCAGAAAUACUGCCGUUAUGUAUAGUGUGCCGUUAUGUAUAGUGGGAAGAGUAUGAGGCGUUGCAAUCAUAACUCAUGCAGGGAGUAAAUGCAAUGCCAACCCCUGAAGCCCGAAGGCAUGUUCAUUUUGAAAAGAAAAAAAGAAAAAAUUAAUUGCAUUAUUUUCUGGAGCUCACUGUAACUACUGCGUACUGAUAUGAGUGGUUCCUAAGGAGCAGACACAUUUAUUGAAAAAUUUUGUGAGGAGAAAAUGCAACAAUAACUUUCCCUCUCAGAGUUCAUGUUCUGGAUUUCUGUUUCAGGGUUGGACCUAAUUUUCAAGUUUGUAGCUUUAUAAUCCCAAAAGCCAGAAGAGAUUUAGGGCUUGACAUAGUCUAAAAGCCAUGGGAGAAGAUCAUGUGUACACAAAAGAUCGGAGGGUUGAAUCCAUUCCAGAUGAGUUUCUCAAAUUUUGAUUUGUUUUUAGUUUUUCCCCGUUCUCUUCUUUUUACUAAAACCUGUCUUCAUUUGUUUGUGUACAGCUCCUUGCAUUCUCUGGCUCACACCCACUUAACAGUAAUCGGCUCAGGUGAUUUAUAUGAUCUCUUAUAUAUGCCAAUGUAAUUUAUACGUGAUCUGUAUGAUAUAGUAUUGUUUAAUGAUUACAUCAGUUUAAAUGGUUAGUUGUAGUUGGAGUAACCGUAUCGGAAUUGCUUAGUGAGGGUGCACUUGCUAUUGUUAGUUUCUUAUUCUUUCCCUUUGUUUGAAUUGUACUUAACUAUCUCAAUUAUUUCUGCACGAUCAAAUUGCUUUUCCACAGUGAUUUCUAUUCAAUGUUAAUGAUCUGUAUGUCUUAUCAACUUCACGUUGUUCAAUACGUAAUUUCUAUAGCUCUGUUUAUUUGAAUCAGUCAUGUAGAGUUUCUAAACUGUAAUACAUUGCCCUAAAAAGGUUCUUCCCUUUUCCUUUCCAGUUUUAAUAGUGAGGUUUCUUCCCUUUUCCUUUCCCUUACAAGCUGGAAUAUGGGCUUUUGAACAUCAAGCCUGAACAUAUGGAUACUUUUUUUUCCUGUUAUCUUUAAUCAACGUCUUAGUUUGAGUGAACAAAAACUAGAGGAUCAGAGGUUUUGACUCCACAGAGGUGCACUCUCUGCAGUGACUGUAUUUGUUUAUGCAGAUUCUGUAUGCAAGCAGGUCUGCCAUUACCUUGAUCCUGUAACAAGGUAAACAAAAUCUAUUCACCUAUUGAAAGAUGGAAAAGACCAUUUGGUUAAAGCUUUCAUUUCAAAACCACAUUAUUUUGAAUCUCUAUUAUAGUUUGGUUCACUGUUUACCUGAGUGAGAGUGCAUGGGUCAGUAUUCUAUCAGGAAUUAGAUAACAAAAAGCUUUAUUGAUUAGCUAUUUCUUAUUCCACUUAUGCUAUUCUGCUAUAUUUGUGUGCAAAUUUUUAGGGUCGCAAGUUUGAAUGAAUUCUAUAGUUACUAUACUAGAGAAGAAUAUAGCUUGAAGAAUGGUUUGGGUUGCUCUACUUGGCACUUUUAGACCUUUUUGUCAUGCCAAUUGAAGCUCUUUACUACAUUUCAAAAAAAAGAUGAAGAUCCUCUUGACCCUUUUGUAUUGUGUAUAACAGUCUUUCGACAUAAGUUCAAUAUAAACUUCAUUUACUUCUCUUUUUAAAUCCUUUUGUUCUUUUCUUUUCAGGUUUAACAUUGCACCAGACUUGAUGAAUCAAGCAAAAGAUUAUUUGAACAGAACUAUGUUAUAUUGUUGGCUAGAGUGAGUGUUUUAGAAUGCAAAAAAAAAAAAAAAAAAAAA